UAUUAUUUUAUAUAUGUCUUAAUAUUUCAUGUUUAAUGGUUUUUAGAAUAUUUUGUUUUUAUUUUCAGGUGAUCCUGACAUCUAAAAUCUCACAAACUUAAGCUAAAUAAGAAAAGGUGCUUACCCUGCUAUCGGUUGUGGCACAACACUAUCACAGCAAUAUCCAGGUUAGACAAUGUUUAAAAUGUCUGUCAGACUGAAGAGUGAUCAUCUCAUUGUUAGCCAAGGUUGCAGAUAAAGAGCAAAAAUAAAGAAAUAAAGUGACCAUCAGGUAUAUAGCUGAGGUCAGAGGGAUCUCCUAUUCAAGCAUUCAAAGAAUCAUUGCCAACAAAUUGCAUAUGAUAAAGCUCUGCAAAUUGGGUUUUGAGAAUCUUAACCAAAAAGUAAAAGGGACAUUGACAUUUUGAGGCUGAAUCUCAAAAAGUUUCAAGCUGAUAGGGUAAACAAUUAUAUAGAUAAAACCUGGAUCCACUAUUUUGGUCUCAGACCAAACAACAAUCCAUGACUUGGAAAUGAGCUUCCUCACUGGCACUAAAGAUAUUCAAAGUGUCAUGUUCCCCGGACGACAUUAUGGUGACCGUUUUUUGGAUCAGGCUCCAAGAAACUUCUACCUCUUUCCUCUACUCAAGGAACACCUCCAAAGCAAGAAAUUUGAAGACAAUGCCGAAGUAAUGAGUGCUCGAAGCGUUUUGGGAAUAUCUAGAUAGUUUUUUUUUUCUAAGGAAUUUUAGUUUUAGAAAGAGAGACUAAAUAUUUUGUCUUGUUAGGAGUUUAUGUAGAAAAAUAAAUAUUUUUUUUAAGCAUCAA
Molecule: long non-coding RNA, 807 nt
Organism: Nymphalis io (European peacock)
Lineage: Eukaryota; Metazoa; Arthropoda; Insecta; Lepidoptera; Nymphalidae
Exons: 3
Source: RefSeq, a predicted model, not a curated record